AGGGCCUUAGUUUAAUUAAAACAUUUGAUUUGCAAUUAAGGGAUGUGGAGUAAAAUCUGCAGGUCCUA
Molecule: transfer RNA, 68 nt
Filed under: Pectenocypris sp. MZB 22148
Lineage: Eukaryota; Metazoa; Chordata; Actinopteri; Cypriniformes; Danionidae
Description: tRNA-Ala
Rfam family: tRNA
About the family: Transfer RNA (tRNA) molecules are approximately 80 nucleotides in length. Their secondary structure includes four short double-helical elements and three loops (D, anti-codon, and T loops).
Source: RNAcentral